This is a long non-coding RNA of Leopardus geoffroyi (Geoffroy's cat), 352 nucleotides long. RefSeq lists it as uncharacterized. NCBI's taxonomy places the organism in Eukaryota, Metazoa, Chordata, Mammalia, Carnivora, Felidae. The record is from RefSeq and is a predicted model, not a curated record. The transcript has 2 exons.
UGCAGAGAUAAUGCUUUCCUAUGUGAUUAUGAUGGAAAUCAGGUCACAGCACUUAUCACUAGAUGGUGUGGGGACCACAGAAGGGAAGAUCCUGGAGCCCAGGAUAUGGUUCUGGCAGGAAGACAGAUUACCAAAGGUGAGCAUCUGUCUUCAGAGGAGGAGAGACAUUCCAGGAUAAAAACUGGGAGGACCACUUUGUCUCCAGGUUUACCUUCCUUCCCCUCCUUCCCCACCCCAAGAUGUCAGCAUGAAAAUACCGUACCAUAGAACUCUACCAGUUGGAAUGGUCUCUUCUUGUCAAAAUUCAGAAGAUGUAACAGGAUAUACUCAUCAUAGACCGUUUCAACUAUGC